Molecule: transfer RNA, 57 nt
Filed under: Leiolepis belliana
Lineage: Eukaryota; Metazoa; Chordata; Lepidosauria; Squamata; Agamidae
Description: tRNA-Ser
Source: RNAcentral
GAGAGACAUUAGAACUGCUAAUUCUUACUCCCGAUGUUAACCCCCUCGGAUCUCUUA